Molecule: long non-coding RNA, 491 nt
Filed under: Callithrix jacchus (white-tufted-ear marmoset)
Lineage: Eukaryota; Metazoa; Chordata; Mammalia; Primates; Cebidae
Description: lncRNA (ENSCJAG00000071728.1)
Source: RNAcentral
AUGGGAGACGGACGACUGGAGAAGAACCAGCACAUGGGACAAUCUCCAAGACAUACUCUGGAGUCUAGCACUUUGAGACAAAGGUGUUGGCAGCGCCGGUUCCUUCUGAGAGCCAUGAGGGAACAAUAUCACAGGAGCAAGAGGGUUCCUGCACAACAGGGCAUCCGCAGCAGCCUUGCUGCCAUCACCUGGCUUCACCUUCUAGACUCCUUUGAACAUGUGGAAGAUACUGAGGCCCAGAGAAACCUACCAAGAGAUUUUACUGCAAGCUUUCCAACACCUCAGCAGUUACUUCAGUUCAUCCUUCACAUGUCAGCCACUUCUCUUGCUCUGCCUUGGCAGAAUCACCAAAAAGGUAUUAGAUGGUGACUGAGGUCACAUGUUUUUACAGGAAUUGGGGAUGGUUGGGGGGUGGGGUGGGCAGUCUGAGGCAGUGUCCGUUUUUCCAUUUUCUAUAGAACACGAGGGGUGUGUGAACAGAGGAACUGAAA